CCGGUGGCGGAUGGGCAUGCGUGACAUUAGCUAGUCGGCGGGGUAACGGCCCACCGAGGCGACGAUGUCUAGGGGUUCUGAGAGGAAGGUCCCCCACACUGGUACUGAGACACGGACCAGACUCCUACGGGAGGCAGCAGUGAGGAAUAUUGGUCAAUGGGCUUACGCCUGAACCAGCCAAGUCGCGUGAGGGAAGACUGCCCUAUGGGUUGUAAACCUCUUUUGUCAGGGAGCAACGCCGGCUACGUGUAGCCGGACUGAGAGUACCUGAAGAAAAAGCAUCGGCUAACUCCGUGCCAGCAGCCGCGGUAAUACGGAGGAUGCGAGCGUUAUCCGGAUUUAUUGGGUUUAAAGGGUGCGUAGGCGGAAUGCCAAGUCAGCGGUAAAAUCGCGGGGCUCAACCUCGCUCCGCCGUUGAAACUGGCGUUCUUGAGUGGGCGAGAAGUAUGCGGAAUGCGUGGUGUAGCGGUGAAAUGCAUAGAUAUCACGCAGAACUCCGAUUGCGAAGGCAGCAUACCGGCGCCCAACUGACGCUGAAGCACGAAAGCGUGAGUAUCGAACAGGAUUAGAUACCCUGGUAGUCCACGCAGUAAACGAUGAAUACUAGCUGUUCGGGGCAAAUGAGCCUUG
RNAcentral lists this ribosomal RNA (630 nucleotides) under uncultured bacterium. RNAcentral describes it as "bacterial SSU rRNA". It matches the Rfam family "Bacterial small subunit ribosomal RNA", at positions 215 to 841 of the family's 1533-position model. The record is from RNAcentral.